AAACAAUUAUUCACACUACCAUCAAAGUUACGUAAUUAAAGAUUUCGAGUUCGAAUCAUCAAGUGCUAUAAUUAAAGAUUUUAAAUUCGACUCCUCUUAGCUAUCCGAAAACAAUGAUUGAUGUCGGAAUAAAUCAUAGGGUGCCCAUAAACUAUCCAAUGGACAUGGCUUCUUUGAGUCUAAUCUUAGCCAUGGCUUCCCUUUUCCACUCCAAUGUAAUAAGCUUACUGGCCCUGGAUGUAAAUCCCUACAUUGUCCUUCAAGAUUAUCACCACCAAGCCCAUGUUGGUUCCAU
RNAcentral lists this unclassified non-coding RNA (295 nucleotides) under Hevea brasiliensis (rubber tree). The record is from RNAcentral. Lineage: Eukaryota; Viridiplantae; Streptophyta; Magnoliopsida; Malpighiales; Euphorbiaceae.